AACGAACGCUGGCGGCAUGCCUAACACGUGCAAGUCGAACGAGACCUUCGGGUCUAGUGGCGCACGGGUGCGUAACGCGUGGGAACCUGCCCUUAGGUUCGGAAUAACUCCCCGAAAGGGGUGCUAAUACCGGAUAAUGUCUUCGGACCAAAGAUUUAUCGCCUUUGGAUGGGCCCGCGUUGGAUUAGCUAGUUGGUAGGGUAAAAGCCCACCAAGGCGACGAUCCAUAGCUGGUCUGAGAGGAUGAUCAGCCACACUGGGACUGAGACACGGCCCAGACUCCUACGGGAGGCAGCAGUGGGGAAUAUUGGACAAUGGGCGAAAGCCUGAUCCAGCAAUGCCGCGUGAGUGAUGAAGGCCUUAGGGUUGUAAAGCUCUUUUACCCGGGAUGAUAAUGACAGUACCGGGAGAAUAAGCUCCGGCUAACUCCGUG
RNAcentral lists this ribosomal RNA (433 nucleotides) under uncultured bacterium. RNAcentral's name for it is "partial 16S ribosomal RNA". It matches the Rfam family "Bacterial small subunit ribosomal RNA", at positions 29 to 507 of the family's 1533-position model. The record is from RNAcentral.